GAUAAGAUAGAGCAGUGGUAGCUCAUUAGGCUCAUGUCCUAAAGGUCAAAGGUUCGAAUCCUUUUUUUAUCA
This 72-nucleotide transfer RNA is filed under the name Guinardia striata. RNAcentral describes it as "tRNA-Met". It matches the Rfam family "tRNA". From Rfam's summary of the family: Transfer RNA (tRNA) molecules are approximately 80 nucleotides in length. Their secondary structure includes four short double-helical elements and three loops (D, anti-codon, and T loops). Lineage: Eukaryota; Bacillariophyta; Coscinodiscophyceae; Rhizosoleniales; Rhizosoleniaceae. The record is from RNAcentral.